UACGUAGGGGGCAAGCGUUGUCCGGAAUUAUUGGGCGUAAAGAGCUCGUAGGCGGUUUGUCGCGUCUGCUGUGAAAGUCCGAGGCUCAACCUCGGAUCUGCAGUGGGUACGGGCAGACUAGAGUGUGGUAGGCGAGUGGAAUUCCUGGUGUAGCGGUGGAAUGCGCAGAUAUCAGGAGGAACACCAAUAGCGAAGGCAGCUCGCUGGGACGAUACUGACGCUAAGGCGCGAAAGCGUGGGGAGCGAACAGG
This 251-nucleotide ribosomal RNA is filed under the name uncultured bacterium. Its description in RNAcentral is "partial 16S ribosomal RNA". It matches the Rfam family "Bacterial small subunit ribosomal RNA", at positions 524 to 776 of the family's 1533-position model. The record is from RNAcentral.